RNAcentral lists this ribosomal RNA (254 nucleotides) under uncultured bacterium. RNAcentral's name for it is "partial 16S ribosomal RNA". It matches the Rfam family "Bacterial small subunit ribosomal RNA", at positions 524 to 776 of the family's 1533-position model. The record is from RNAcentral.
UACGUAGGGGGCAAGCGUUGUCCGGAUUUAUUGGGCGUAAAGAGCUCGUAGGCGGCUCACUAAGUCGGAUGUGAAAACUCCAGGCUCAACCUGGAGACGCCACCCGAUACUGCUGUGACUAGAGUCCGGUAGGGGAGCGUGGAAUUCCUGGUGUAGCGGUGAAAUGCGCAGAUAUCAGGAGGAACACCAGCGGCGAAGGCGGCGCUCUGGGCCGGAACUGACGCUGAGGAGCGAAAGCGUGGGUAGCAAACAGG